UCCUCCGAAAAUAGUCUAAAA
Molecule: non-coding RNA, 21 nt
Filed under: Caenorhabditis elegans
Lineage: Eukaryota; Metazoa; Nematoda; Chromadorea; Rhabditida; Rhabditidae
Source: RNAcentral